CUCAGCUUAUCAAUUGAAUGAAAUCAAGUGUCCUCCAAUUUCGCUUUCUUCAUUCUCUCUGUCUAGGGUUCUCCUGGCCCUCACGGAAACCCUGGUCGCCCCGGCCCCCCUGGUGCUAAAGGCCACAAAGGGGAUCCUGGAAGGUCACCUGGAAAGGCCUACAAUGGGGAAAAGGGAAAUGCAGGCUUACCUGGAUUGACAGGGCAGCUGGGACCAGUUGGUCGGAAGGGGCAGAAGGGCUACCCGGGACCAUCAGGGCAUCCCGGAGACCAGGUAAGUGUCCCCAUUCCCGACAAAAUCACCAAGGAUUGAUU
Molecule: long non-coding RNA, 314 nt
Filed under: Ornithorhynchus anatinus (platypus)
Lineage: Eukaryota; Metazoa; Chordata; Mammalia; Monotremata; Ornithorhynchidae
Description: lncRNA (ENSOANG00000046589.1)
Source: RNAcentral